AGGCAGUUUUUAUUCAUGUGAAAAUUAAUUAAUCACUAGUCCCCUUAAAAUCUAGCUGGAAUUUUUAGCCGAAAUAUAUGUAGUUUCUUUUAAUUCUUUAUUUGUUUGGCAAGAGUUGGUAGCAUUGAUUUUAGAUAUAUAAGGAUAUUAAAAUCCUUUGAAAAUAAAAGAAGUCACUUAAAAAUUUUAAAUACUGUCUACUCAUUAUUAUAUUUUAAUGGAUAUGUUUGCUGCAGAAGACAGAACAAAAUCUUUCGUUUGGAAUCUUUGUGCUUUAGAGGCAAAACAAGAUCUUUUCAAUAAGAGUACAUUUAAGAUGUUAUUUACCUUCUAUGUUUGAGAGUGAUAGGCCACAGAAUAUCAAAUUGGAGUCUCCUUUGUUUAGAAGCCAUAUGUGUUUCCUUAAGUUACUCAUAUGUUCAGUAAUUAUUUUAUGGAAAAGGGAGAAGUAGAUUCAUAUAUUUAUUCAUCAAACAUUUUCUUAAUGCCUAUUAUGUACAGGGCCUGUGUUAGAUUCUGAACUUAUACACAAAACAGAAGUAGACACGCAGACAGAAAACAAACUUAUGGUUACCAAAGGGGAAAGGGGGGAGAGAGAGGGAUAAAUUGGAAGUUUGGGAUUAACAGAUACCCACUGCUAUGUAUAAAUAGAUAAACAACAAGGACCUACAGGAUAGCACAGGGAACUAUAUUCAAUUUCUUGCGUUAACCUAUAAUGGAAAAGAACCUGGAAAAGAAAUAUAUAUAUAUAUAUAUAUAUAUAUAACCAAAUCACUUUGUUGUACACCUGAAACCAAUACAACCUUGUAAAUCAACUAUAUUUCAAUUAAAAAAAAUUUGGCUAGAUUAAAACAUAAAAAAAGAAAUUCUGAAAUCCAGUAUGCUAAUUAGCAAAGUAACAGAUUCCUGAUUAGAAUUUGCACUGACCACUCUCAGGCCUUUCAUUCUUGAUAGUAAGUGAGUUGAACACCCAGCCCGAGAACUUUUAAGUAUAACAGUGGACUAGCCUGGGAACCAAAGCUUACACGCACUUGCACAUAAAUAACACAGUAUCUCUGAUGGGGCAUUUUUAAGUAAGUCACAGGCUGUGAAACACUGAGUUUUAGUCAACAUGUUCUUCGACUUCAAGUUAGAUGGGGUAUUGCUGUUUACCUCGUAGGCUAAUAUAAGUAAAUACCAGACGCACAGUAAAUGGAAUUCUGCUUGACUUGAGCUGAUAUCUUAUUUUGUCUCUACUGUUUGGUUGUCUGAGAUGCUAAAACAUCAGAAUUAUGGCAAAAUCCAUACUUUUCCACAUGCAGUAGUAUUUUGGGUUCAUCCUAGCUCCAUUCUUCCAUAAUAUUUUAUCUAUGAGGACUAUAUCUCCCAGAGCUCUACAAAUAUUUCUCCUCCUUAUUUUUUGCCUAUUUAUUUUCUGGGGAGGUCUUAGUCUAAUUUUUCACACAAUGAGAUAGACUAAUUAAGAGAAGGGAAACCAAUUCUCAGGUUGCUGCACUGAGGCUGGAGGGAGGUAUGUGUCUUGAUUUCCAGUUGGUGAAUGUUUUGUUCUUCUGAGUAAGUGGCAGACGUGGGGUAAGGGUAAAGGUUUCUCUUUUCCUUUCAAACCAGCAAAUUUGCAUUGCUUGAUUGUAUAUUAUGCAGAGAUCAGUAAUUGUUACUCCCAUCAAGUUAUCAGUUCAGAUUCUUUCUGGAUUCUGACAACAGGAUGACUUCUAGUCCUGGUUAAUUAAUUUAUUCUUUCAUGAAAUAUUUAUGGAAUUCCUCCUACAUGCUAGGUGCUGUUUAGGCACUGGGGAUACAGUGUAAAAUAUCCCUGCCUUUAUGGAGCUUAAAGUAUUGUUGUGCCUUUUGAUCUUACUCUGUGAAUUCCUGGAGUGGCAAUAUGAUGAGCUGCCAGACAGAUGUCAUUUGACACUGAAGUUCAACCGAAGACACAUAGGCAUAUCUAGUGAACUUUAAUUUUUGAAGUCAUUGUCAGUUCAACCUAUUUUAAUAUCCAUAAAUUGCUCAUUGAGGAAAUUACAUUUUUAAAAUAAAACCAUACAUCUUUGUGUAUAUUUCCUACAUGAACUUUCAAAAUAAUAAUUCCUUUAGUUCUUUAGUAUUUCAAAAGCAUUUUAGCCCAUCUACCACAUUAUUUAUGGGCACAGUUGACUCAGAAAGAUUAAGUAAACUGCUCAAGGGAUAUACCCAAGUAAGUAAAGAAGCUGAAACUCAACCCACGCCUUCUGACUCCAAGCUUAGUACUCUUUCCAUUAUACUAGUCAAAUUUGCAGUUUCCAGCACUUUCUACAUUGAUGUGUAAUUCAUCAGGUUCAUAGGGCAACAGAUAAUAAACUCUUCUACUAAAGCAAUUUCAAUUAUGUGCUUCACAAUUGAGUUAGACGAUGGAUUGUUUCCAAGACUGCCUGUCAGUAUUUCAAAAUGUUGUGUUUAUUCACUAACCUCCUGCCUCCUUUCCUGUUAGAGUCGGCCUGUUCUGAGAUCUCAGAAUCAAUAUUCUUUCAAAGCUACAUGCCUCCUUAUGAGGAAGCACUCACUUGAUUAUUGUCGAUAAGUUGAAAACACAACGAAGGCUACAUGAUGUCUUGACCUACUUCUAUUAAAUUAAAACUUCUGUUUCAUAUUUUGGUUUCUUUUUUCUCCUGACAGAUACAAUUUAGGAACCUUGUAAGAAAGAGUUUAUCCUUUUUCUCAUACUUCAGAGUAGGUAAAAUGUAACUUUUCAAGUCUGAGAUCUUUUUUUUAAUCUGGAUUUUUACUUAAGAAAUGCAUCAUCACUUUCACUGCGUUGCUAGAAAACUUUCUUUUAUCUUUUAGUUCUAACAGCUCAUUAUGUAUUUAAUGGGCUCAGUCAGUUACCUAUCUAACAUGACCUACUGAGCAUCCAUUUUAUACAAGGUAAAAAUUUAGUUCCUAUACACCUGAUUACUCCAGUUUAUGGAAUGGUUUUCAAGUUUCUGCACUGGUUCUAGGUCCUCAGAGCAUCUGAUAUUGAAAGGUGAUCUAUCCCUUGGACAUGUAUCCAGCAAUCCCUUUGUUCACAAGCGAGAAAUCCUACAACUACAUUUGAGAAAACACACCAAUGUAUAGCAAAGUUAAUUCAAGAAAAACUUCCAAGCUAAAAACUGAAACAAAACAAAGCGAAAAACAAGAGAUUUGCCACAAGGAUUUGAGCUAAUAUGGUUUUGGGAACUGGCUAACCAGUCCCUGGAAAGUGGCAGCCUUUGCCUCUGACACUGGAGCUUGAAGUCAACAAAGCAGACCAUUGGGAAGAGGAAACGGAUGUAGAGUUGGGAGGAACGAGAACAAGCAUCCCUUCAUGAUGAACUCAAGCAAGAAGAGCCUGGAAUCCAUGUCAGUUCUCGCUGCCUCCAGUCUUGACCUGGGUGUCCUAUGGGAGAGGGUGGUGCCUGGACCAAAAUGCGAAACACACACUUGUCCCAGGAGCUGGAGGAGCUGAAGGAGCAGGUGAAACAGUUGCAGAUGGGGCUGCAGAUCCUCUCCAACAACGUGAGCCAGCAGGGAAGCAAGGACCACAUGAGCCACAAAAUGGUUGCUGCUUCACUGUUUAUUCUCCAAAUUCCCCACAAGACUCUUUCCUGUGGCCCACCCUUACCAGAAGCAUACAGGAAAGAGAAUUCUGGGGAAAACAGUGCCACCUAGCCUAGUCACCAUGUUAUGGAGCCAUCACACUUUGGGUACUUUCCCAAGAGUUUUUAACAGAUUUAUUUUAAAAUGUCAAAUUUGGAAUACAUCAGAAUUUAUAUUCUUUGCAAUUAUUUAAACUUAAGCUGAGUAGUUUUCCCUGUGAACUUAAAAAUGUGUGCGAGAGUACACAGUUUUAUCAAUUACUUUAGAAAGCAUCUAAGUAAAAAUGUUUGAAGAUCCCUGAGAUAGUGCUUAAUUUACAGAAAUUGUUAAGAAAGGAGAAACAAGUUGGGCAUCAUUCCCUAAGGUGGGAUGCUGGCUGCAGAUGCAGGUACAGAUGGGGAGAUUUCUGACCAGCCCAAAAAGCCAGCCCAAGAAAGCAGAUGUCCCAUUGCCUGAGGGGUCACUCUCCAGAUAUAAUCAUGAUGUUACUAACUGGUGCCCUCUUCUUCCUAAUCUUCUGUGCCUAUCUUCUUCAGACUCCUGAGGCUGGACAGUUUCUACAUGUGGACUCAGACCCUGAUCAGACAGAGCUCCAAGCAGUUGCUUUGCAUUCCUCUGGACUCAGCCUCAUUCCUCAGCUCCUUGACCUGAAUAUAUAUCCUGCCUUCUUUGGUUGUAUGGUGGCCCCCAAAUGAAUAUAUGAACAUUUGAUGAAAAGUGCGGUUACCUUUAAAAAGGCUAGUAUGUGAAAUGUCUCUAUCCAAAACCAGAAGAUAAGUUUGACUCCUCAAGGUCAGCUCUUGAAAAGACUCUUGAGUCAGAUGAGCACAAGGCUUGAUUCCACCUUUGGUGGAGAUGCAUGCAGUAGGACAUCAGGACCUGAUGCUGCUCUAUGUUUGAAUCACAUGGUGUUUUGGAUUGAAUGUUUGCGUCCCCUUAAAAUCCAUGUUGAAAUCCUAAUGCCCAAUGUGAUGCAAUGUGCUGAUAUGAAGAAGUGGGGAUUCUGGAAAGUAAUCAGAUUGUGAAGAUGAAGCCCUAAUGAAUUGGAUUAGUACCCUCAUAAGAAGAGAUAGGAGAGUUUGCUCUCUCUGUUCUCCCAUAUGUGAGGAUACAAGGAGAGGAUGGCCAUCUGCAAACAGGAAGUGUUACCACCAGGCACUGGAUCUGGGACUUCCCAGCUCCAGAAUUGAGAGAAAUAAGUGUUUGUUGUUUAAGCCACCCAAUCUAUAGUACUUUUGUGAUCACAGCCCCAACUGACUAAGGCUUGUAGUGAAUUCCUUUUAUUCUCAUCCCUUCCUUAUCAAGCAUUCCUCUCAUGUUUUGAUUUCCCAAGUAGCAGGAAUUACAUGCUGGCUAAGCUGAUACAAAAAGUUUGAUCUGCUUAAUGACCUGUCCACAUUUAUUUUUGCAAGUUAAUAAAUUGAAAUUUAUUUUUCAUUUAGAAAAUUAGGUGCCAGAAUUCCUUGAUAGGGGCUGAUUUAAUCGUAAUAUGAUUUAACAUGAAGACUGCUUAGCAGAGAGGUUAAAAGGUCAGCUUCUGGAUCAUGACUGCUGGGAUUCAAAUUUUAUCUCUACUGCUUAUUAGCUGUAUGUCCCUCACAAAUUUCUGGGCCUUGGUUUCCUGAUCUAUAAAUUAUGAUGAAUAAUAGGAUUUAUAUGAGAAAAUUACAGUAUGUAUUAAAGGAAUUAAUACUUGUUAAGUGCUUAGAAUAGCAUCUGGCAAAAAAAGCACUAUAUAUGUUAAUAUCAUUAAAUAAAUGGGGUAAGUUAUGCAUACCUGUGAACUGAUCUCUUAGUUUUCUUUUUCAUUCCAUAUCUAAUUCUAAACCUUGUAUAUCUCCCAUUCAAUUUUUUUACAAUCAAUUUUUAGUAGGCUCAACCUCUUGAUUAUUUUGCUUAGCUCAAUUAGAAAGAAAUUAACAUUUGCAUGUUAAUAACCUGGAAUUAAACAUUUCCCACAUACCGAUCUUAUCAAAUGUCUCUCUGAGUCUAUCAAAAGAGGAUGUAUGGUAAGUCCCCUACAUACUAACCUUCAAGUUGCGAACUUUCAAAGAUGUGAACAUGCAUUCACAUGUCCAAUCAUGUAAGUUAGUUCACGUGUUUGGCGUACAUUGUCACGUGCGUGCAUCUUCUACACGUGGUUGUGCUUUUGUAUACUUUACUGUACAGUACUGUAUAGAGUAUAGUAGUACAGUAUCUUUAUUUCAAGCCCAAGAU
Long non-coding RNA from Hippopotamus amphibius kiboko, 5811 nucleotides. RefSeq lists it as uncharacterized. Lineage: Eukaryota; Metazoa; Chordata; Mammalia; Artiodactyla; Hippopotamidae. The record is from RefSeq and is a predicted model, not a curated record. The transcript is spliced from 3 exons.